RNAcentral lists this long non-coding RNA (1283 nucleotides) under Salmo salar (Atlantic salmon). Its description in RNAcentral is "lncRNA (ENSSSAG00000084903.1)". The record is from RNAcentral. Lineage: Eukaryota; Metazoa; Chordata; Actinopteri; Salmoniformes; Salmonidae.
GGAAAACUACAGGCGAAUAUCCGUCGAAUAUCCCACCUGAAACUGUCUUUGCCUUGAUGUUCACAACUCGGCAAAACAAUGUCAAUCUCAGAAGAAGAUGUAAAAAUCAUUAAGAAAGAAUAUCUUGAAGAAAGAGACGAGACGAGGAAAUGGAAAGAAAGACAGAAACCACGUUUCCAUCCACAGUUUUUAUGUGAGUAAAUUCAUGCAGUCUAAAAUAAAAUCAAGACAGCUGUGAUGGAAACAGGAAGUUUCAGUACAAUUUUAUAAAUGCCAAAGAUCAUUUGUUCGUUCGACAUGGGAUCUUUUUGUGUCUGUAUAAUGUAUUAUGCAAGAAAUGGCAGUGGAAACGCCUUUAUGCGCAAUUAUUUAUAUAACAGCAAUCAUAUUGAAGCAAAGUUGGACAAUCACACCAAGUAGACUAGCCUACCUGGCCUCACAGCCAACCCGCACUGAACCUGCAAGCUGUUGGCCGGAGCGCACGUGCCAAGACCAGAGACUCUAUAGUGUCUCCUACAGAAAAUAUGAAGAGUUUGGUCACCCCCUUGACAAAUGGCAAGUCACUCCAGAUGGAAGUCAGAAAUGCUACAGGAAGUGGUUCAUCUGUACCUUCAAGAAGCAAUUGGAAGAAAAACGCACAUUGAGAAUGGAUGCCAGGAUGCAAUUCCAGAAGCUUGGACACAGAUAUCAAAGGAAGAUGCCUUGAAGGAGAUACAUUUCAAGCAAUAAAGAAACAAUAGGUCAUCACUAAACACAAACACUGGAUAUGAAUUUCUACCUCAAAUAAAACUUUUUGAAAACAUUUUCACUAAGAUUCUAGAGAUGGAAAGUAGAAGCAACUCAUGAUGGAGUAUUAUUAUCUUGUUCAUAGGGAACAAACUAACAAUUAGGAGAACUACAUCAAUGCUCAAAUUAAGAUAUUUAGUAGGGAACUGCACACACUCAUAAAUAUAGUCAUACUAUACCAAUCUUCAUUGUUAAGAUUGUUUUACUUAUUGUUUAUGCUUAUACAUAAUUUAUUCCAAGCAUGAGAUAAUUAUGAUUAUUUUUUAUUUUUUAUUGUUCUGUCAUUUUCUUACAUUGAAUGUUAAUGGUAUAUAUAUUUCCUUUUUGUUUGAACUUUAUAAAGUAAUCACAGGCAGUUAGUUGAAAGGCGCUAUAACCGAGAAAUGUACAUGUAAGUAAGUUGAAGAUGUUUGUAAAGCAUGGUUACUAAUUGUAUUCAAUGUUUUAAAGACAGUUAGGACAGGAACAAAAUGCACUGUAAAACCAUGAAACAUGUG